AGGUGGUUUUGCGAGCAGGCUGUUGUUGCAGCUGCUGGAGAAUGUUGCUGGCAUUGCCCUGGCUGGUGUGUCGUAUUUGGGGAUGCCUUCAGUCGCCUCUGGACAUCGAGUGGAGGCUGUCCAUUUCGAAAUUCAUUUCAUACGCUGACAUCAAGAAGUCACAGUUACACAUUGAAGAGGAAUAGACAAAACGCGGGCCAAGAAGGAACAGAUACAUUCGGGCAUUGGGUAAACCCAAAACCCAAAAAAAAGACUGCAUGGAG
Molecule: long non-coding RNA, 263 nt
Organism: Stegostoma tigrinum
Lineage: Eukaryota; Metazoa; Chordata; Chondrichthyes; Orectolobiformes; Stegostomatidae
Exons: 3
Source: RefSeq, a predicted model, not a curated record